Molecule: microRNA precursor, 69 nt
Filed under: Bombyx mori (domestic silkworm)
Lineage: Eukaryota; Metazoa; Arthropoda; Insecta; Lepidoptera; Bombycidae
Description: mir-2774 microRNA precursor family
Rfam family: mir-2774 microRNA precursor family
Source: Rfam by way of RNAcentral
ACAAUAUUUAGACCGUCGGUCUACCGAGCAAAUAUCACCCGCUCCGUGGAAGAUCUUCCUCUUUGUCGU